AAAAAAAAAAGUAAACAGAUUGUCUCACAGUUCUGGGGGCUACAAGCCCAAAAUCCAGGUUUCAGCAGGGCCGUGCUCCCUCUGCAACCCUAGCAGUCCUUCCUUUUCUGCUCCUAGCUUCUGGUGCCUUGCCAGCCACUCAGGCAUUCAUUGGCUUGCGGCUGCACAGCCAGUCUCUGCCUAUGUGGUCACCUGGCAUCUUCCUUAGUGUCUGUGUCUUCACAUGGCUGUGUUCUUACAAGCACACCAGUCAGAUUAGACUACGGGCCCACCCUACUCCACCAUGACCUCAUCUUAACUAAUAACACCUGCAAUGAUCCUAUUCCCCCAUCAUGUCACAUUCUGAUGCACUGAGGGUUAGGACUUGAACAUAUCCUUUUGGGGGAACACAGUUAACCCUUACCACCACCCUACAGAUUACUGUCUUGGACUUCUUUGGGGCUCUUUAACACAGCAAAGGCUGUUAUUUUUUAAAUCCUAGCUACACUUGGGUUGCACGGAGCAGCAGGAGUGACUCCCCACCCCGCCAGCCUGGCACACACAGCCUGGCUCAGCCAGCACCUGGAUCCAGAGGCUGGAAGACCUGAAGAGGCUCUGCCCAGACUGCCCCUGAGGACAGUGCAGUGGGACAAGAUCCUCACAGUCCCCAGUUCCCAGACGAUCCCUAGCUCUUCAGAAUGCAGGUGGCAGAGGUGACCAGAACAGUCAACACAUGUGAUCCUACUGUCCCCUCUGAGGCUGCGGUUUCCAGGUCAUUAUCCACUUACUGCAGCAGCUGGGGCAUUCCUGGGGGCUUCCCAACCCGGGGCUAGCUGGACACAGGAGGCUCCAGCUACAACCCAAGCCCAGCAAGAAGCCUGCGCAGACCCACAGCUGAGGCUUCAUGUGGCCAGCCCCCAGCCAAGUGGUAGUGCAUGGAGAGACCCACGGGAGGCCAGAGGUGCUGCUGGGACUCAGAAAAGCCACAGCAACCAAGGCGACCCAGGACGCUGUCAUGCUCAGUCUGACAAAACAAAGGUGCAAGGGGCAUAGAUAAAGCUGGAAAGGAGAGGGCUGGGGAGGAUGUGCCAGGGGCCUCUGACACUUGUCAGGGAGCAGGAAUUCCAACUGCUCCCUGCACACAGAGUUGCAGGAUUAGCAACUGAGUUACCCAUGGAGACAUCAGCUCAGAGUCCAGGCAGCUUUUCAGAUGACACUGGGGAUAAGAACAUAAAGACCAGGAAAAUGGGUCACUUUGCACACACAUGAUGCCCCAACAGAUGUGCCGGCCACCACCCAACACAAGACAAAGACGAACAGACAAUAGACUGGUGGGGGAGCAGUGAUCAAAGAAGGCUUCCUGGAGGAGGGGGCCUGACCGGCUCAGUAGGAUACAGGUAAAUGGUGCAAAGUGAGAGGGCAUGGGAUGGAGCAGGGUCAGUCAACCAAAGCCUGUGACUUUGAGCCUAAGGGACACUGACAGUCCUGACCCAAAGGAGGUGCAGGCCUCGGGACAGAUUCUCAUCGCUCAUUCUUCUCCCUGGCGCAGAGGACUUCAGAGCUACCUGGCAUUUUCUCCCUGUCCAAAUCCACCCCACAUUUCAAAAAAAGUAGGCAGACUACCCAACUUCACCCAGAACGGGGGUGCAGGGCUGGGCCUGGGUCUGAGGACUUCAGUUUUAAGCAGCAAGUCCAGUGCCCCUCACCCGUAUUGGGCGGACAGUGUGGGUGGGGUGGAGCCUGCGUCCAUCUGCAGGUUGCUGGUUCGGCUGUGGCCAGCAGGGGGCAGCUGAGCCCACUCUUUCCUCCCGACCGGCUGCAGGGACAGUGAACAGUACCGCCCGCCCAGGCAACCUGGAACCAGGGUCGUGCCCUACGGCAGAAUGUGGGGGGCCUUGGGUCUGGCGCUGCGUGCUCACCCCCUCUCAGAGUGGGAGUCCUGGCUCCUGACUGCCCUGACCUUCUUCCUACCACUGGGCCCAUGAUGGGGGUCCCCAACUUUCAAGAACACAGGGGAUGCGCCUUCUCAGGAAACACGUCCCCUCGCCAGGCCCCUGGGAACAGUCACAACCACGACGCCUGUCCCCGAAGCGCCCGCGCAGCUCCACGGGAUUCCAUGUUGUCACCCACUGGAUCCUGGACGCCAUCAGCCCGCAGCAGGGUUUCCAGACCACAGAAACCGCCUGUUGGGGUGCGGGGCGUUACACGUCCCCUCGCAGCGCCCCGCUGGGCUUCUGGGCCGCCCCGCCCCCACCCCGCGCCCGGACGCUGACGUCACUGGCCGAGCCAGACUCGGAGCCGCCGCCCGAGAGUCACGCGCGCCUCCCGGCGGGACGCGCCCUCUGCAGAGAUCCCUCCGCCGCCGCCUGGAAUUUUCCAGACGUCCUGCCGGCCCUUCUUUCGGGCCUCGUCGGGGCGUGGUGACCUGAGGCGACCCCGGCGGCUCCCGUUGCCCACUUAGGAGGGCGCCCCCGCCCGCCUCUUCCUGAGCCCCUCUCUCUGGGAAGCGCGCCCCGCCCGACCCAACACCCAGGAAGAAAGUCUUCUUCGUCAUGGCAUCCGCCUUCCAAAUGUCACCUUGAGCGCUGUUCGCGAUCCCAAAAAGCACUGCUAAGGAGAAGCGGGGAUAAACUGGGGUCCUUGCGUCGGGGGCGCCUGGGAGACCAUGCACCGCCCGGGUUGUCUCCCCGGGCCGGGUCGGGGAGGGACUUUUUUUCCGGUGGCCGUGGAGGAAUCGUCCCGUUGAACAGUGACCCCGGUGACGCGGCCGAGGGCUAUAAAAGCAAAAGUUGUGGCCGGUCCAGCAGAAGUUAGCGAUAGGGAGGGAUGCGUACUUGGGUCUAGUUGUGGGGGAGGAAGUGACCAGUUCAGGGUCUCGGGACAGACCGGGAGAGAUGGUUGAGUUACAUGAGACUGGGGGCCCUGGGAGUACGAGAAGGAAGCUUGACAAGGAGACUAGGUCUGAAGAAACCACAGUGGGGCAGGCUGCGUGGUGGAAAAUGCCCGCAGGAGCCCCCAGAGAGGACAGCCAUGCUCCAGGCCAGGCUGUCCCUACUGCCUGCUGGAGAGGGAACUUGACCUCUGGGAGGGAGCCGCUCUUGCAUGGCUGAGCGAGCCCCCGUGCGCUGGUCUGUGUGGAAGGAGGAAGGCAGGGAGAGGUAGAAGGGGUGGAGGAGCCAGGAGGAAUGAAUGGGCUGCUGCGGCCCUGGAAACGAUCAGGAAGGCAGGCAGUGGGUGCAGGGCUGCAGAAGGGCCGGGAGGGCCGAGCUUCAACUUGUCCAUGCCAGCGGCCCCUUUUUUUCCAGACCAAGGGCUGUGAACCCGCCUGGGGAUGAGGCCUGGUCUUGUGGAACUGAACUUAGCUCGGCGGGGCUGACCGCUCUGGCCCAGGGUGGUAUGUAAUUUUCGCUCGGCCUGGGACAGGGCCCAGGCCGGGCCCAGCCUGGUGGAGCGUCCAGGUCUGGGUGCGAAGCCAGGCCCCUGGGCGGAGGUGAGGGGUGGUCUGAGGCGUGAUGUGGAGUUAAGGCGCCAUCCUCACUGGUGACUGGUGCAGCACCUAGCAUGUUUGACAGGCGGGGACUGCGAGGCACGCUGCUCGGGUGUUGGGACAACAUUGACCAACGCUUUAUUUUCCAGGUGGCAGUGCUCCUUUUGGACUUUUCUCUAGGUUUGGCGCUAAACUCUUCUGUGAGCUCACUCCACCCCUCCUCCUCCCUUUAACUUACCCAUUCACUUAAAACAUUACCUGGUUGUCUGGUAAGCCCGGGACAGUAGCCGAGUGGCUUUUGGAGUCGGUAUUGUUGGUAAUGGUGGAGAAAGAGAGGCCUUCCCGCUGAGGCUGGGGUGGGGCGGAUCGGUGUUGCUUGCCUGCAGAGAGGGUGGGGAGUGAAUGUGCACCCCUGGGUGGGCCUGCAGCCAUCCAGCUGAAAGUCAUAAAAAUGCCUUAUAGACCGUGGUUUGUUACUAUAGUGUUCCUCAUGGCGAGCAGAUGGAACCGGGAGACAUGGAGCCCCUGGCCAGUGUGAGUCCUAGCAGUGCAGGAGGGGAGACCAUGGAGGAGAGAGCCCGCCUCAAUUGAUGCCUGCAGAUUGAAUUUCCAGAGGCUUAGGAGGAGGAAGUUCUCCAAUGUCGUGUUUCCAGGCCUUGCUGGGGAAGCCCUGUAUUCAGGAGGCAACCAUUUAAAGUUUUCAGAUGAGCUUAUGGGGGGCAAUCUUAAAAUAUCCACAGCAGAUGCAUCCGGCUCGAGGUGCCAUCAGCUUUGAAUAAAUGCUUGUUCCAGAGCCCAUGAAUGCCAGCAGGCACCCCUCCUUUCCUGGGGUAAAGGUUUUCAGAUGCUGCGUCUUCUAAAUUGAGCCUCCGGUCAUACUAGUUCUGUGCUUGGAACCUUGCUUCAAGAAGAUCCCUAAGCUGUAGAACAUUUUAACGUUGAUGCCACAACGCAGAUUGAUGCCUUAUAGAUGGAGCUUGCAGAUGGAGCCCCGUGACCUCUCACCUACCCCCCCUGUUUGCCUGCCUGCCUAUGCGUUGCUCGGAGAAGUUCUUAGCCUGAUGAAAUAACUUGGGGUGUUGGAAAGCUGUUUAAUUUUAAAUGCCUUAGACGGGGGAUGUAUUAGAGGAAGCAGAUUGUCGAGAGUGUCAUUGUGUUAUGCUAAACUCUGGGAGGGUACAAAUUGGUCAUUCCCAAAUCUGUGUGUGAAAAAUGGCAGGUCUAGUUUGGGCAUUGUGAUUGCAUUGCAGAUUACUAAGAGAAGGUAAUGGUGGGUAUACCGGUAGUGCUCUUUUGUUCUUGCUUCGUUUUUUUGCACCUGAACUUCGUUAGAUUUCAUAAUGCUUUUUUGGCAUUUUAAUAAGAGGACCCUGAGGUGGGAGUUGUGGGAGACCGGGAGAAGGGGACAGCUUGGCACUGGUCACGUGGGAUUUGCAGUGUGGGGGAUGGGGGUGUGCAGCUUGGCACUGGUACUGGGAGGGAUGAAGGUGAGGAAGGGGAGAGGGUUGGUUAGGUAUAUAGUGUGGGUGGUAGGAAAUGCAGGUUGAAGGGAAAUUCUCUGGGGCUUUGGGGAGUUUUGUGCGGUGGGUGAGCCAAGAAAAUACUAAUUAAUAAUAGUAAGUGUUGGUUAAGUUGUUGCUUGGAAGUGAAAAGUUGCUUAGAAAGGUUAGAACUUUAAGUGCAAAGAAAAGAAAAAAACCCAAAACAAUUGUUUUCCUUUGCUGCAAGGUGGGGAAGACUGAAAAAGUGUAACCGAAAACAGAUGACACAGAGUCACCCGUUUUCCGAGAACCCACAGGGAGGGGUGUAUGAUGCCAUCUCACAGGCAGGGCAAGUGUCUUUACCAGCUUCCUCCCGGUGACCAAGGCAGCCUGUUUUAGAGGGUUGUUUUGUUUGGGGUGUGGGUGUUAUCAAGUGAAUUAAUCACUAGAAAGAUGGGUGUCAGACUUGUAGACACAGCAGAUCGGCAUCCUUCGCUGCCCCUUAGCAACUUAGGUGGUCAAUCUGAAGCUGUGAAGGUGUGAUUUUUCAGGAGCUGGAAGUCUUAGAAAAACCUUGUAAAUGCCUACAUUGUGGGCUUUUGACAUAUUUAAGGGACCGCUUAAGACGAGAUUAGAUGGGCUCCUCUGGAUUUGUAACUCAUUUGUCACAGAUACCUUGUGAUUGAAAAUCGUGAGUGAAGUGAAAUUGCAGUGCAUUUCAAGGGAAUUUUGUAUGUAAAUCGUGCCUUAGAAACACUUCUGUUGUCUUUUCUGUGUUUGGUCGAUAUUAAUAAUGGCAAAAUUUUUACCUACCUAGUAUCUUCAAAUCGUAGUCUUUGUAACAAGAACCAAAUAACCUUUUGUGGUCACUGUAAAAUUAAUACUUGGUAGCAGACAGAAUCCAUGUACCUUUGCUAAGGUUAGAAUGAAUAAUUUAUUGUAGUUUUAGUUUGAAUGUUUGUGCUUUAUAAAUGAUCCAAGGCUAGAGGGGAAACUAUCACUUAAAAUCCAUGUGGAAAACAAGAGCUAAAAAGGAAAGGGGAUGGGGAUUGUGGGGAGGGAGUGGGUGAGGUGCCUUUACUACAUGUGUGAUCUGAAAAACCUGCUUGGUAAUAAGCUGCGGUAUUGAAUUGGUAAAGUAAUACCAAUGGCCUUUUAUCAUUUCUUUCUUCCCUUUAAAUUUCACUUAAAAUUUUUAAAAUCAUGGUUAUUUUUAUCCUUGGGAUCUUUCUGUCUUCUGGGUUCCGUUUUUUAAAUGUUUAAAAAUAUGUUGACAUGGUAGUUCAGUUCUUAACCAGUGACUUGGGGAUGAUGCAAACAUCCUGUUGUUGGGAUUUAGAGUGUAUUCCUCAUGCAUGUAUGGGGAAAUAGUCUCCAGUAUGCUGUUGUGAAAUUGAAACUGUAAAAGUAGAUGGGUAAAAGUACUGGUGUGUUGCUCUGUAUGGUAAGAACUAAUUCUAUUACGUCAUGUACGUAAUUACUAAUCGUUUUUCUUCCACUUUACAGCACAAAUAAAGGUUUGAGUUCUAAACUCAUGAGAA
Non-coding RNA from Macaca mulatta (Rhesus monkey), 6488 nucleotides. NCBI's taxonomy places the organism in Eukaryota, Metazoa, Chordata, Mammalia, Primates, Cercopithecidae. The record is from RefSeq and is a predicted model, not a curated record.